AAACCUCAACCUCCCUGGUUUCUUCUGGAGACCAAAGGAGGCUUGGACUUUGGAGGCCUUUGCCGGCGUCUCUGCCAGCUCCUCUCAAAUGAAUUAGUGGGGUCCUCUUUGCCGAUCCUUGACAUGUGAUAAGAUGCUUCCGUGUCUCGGUUUCUGGCUCUGUUGCCUUUGGGACCCGCUUCUAACCGUCUAGACCUCGCGUCGAGACAACGUUCGAGCACGUCUCCCUUGUCGGGAAACGUUCUCGACCCCACGAAC
RNAcentral lists this unclassified non-coding RNA (258 nucleotides) under uncultured Lactarius. RNAcentral describes it as "sequence contains ITS2". The record is from RNAcentral. Lineage: Eukaryota; Fungi; Basidiomycota; Agaricomycetes; Russulales; Russulaceae.